Long non-coding RNA from Anguilla rostrata (American eel), 2469 nucleotides. RefSeq lists it as uncharacterized. Lineage: Eukaryota; Metazoa; Chordata; Actinopteri; Anguilliformes; Anguillidae. The record is from RefSeq and is a predicted model, not a curated record. The transcript is spliced from 3 exons.
AACUUGGCGUCAUUUUGAUAUCAAUACUUUUGAGUAACUUGGCAUUUUUGUACGUUGAAAACGUGUUUUUUAUGAGAUUGAAUUUACAGUAAUUAACUGGAAAUUGCAAAGGAUAUUGGGAAGCCAUUGGUUAGUAGUGGCGGGAGAGAGAAUUUGCUAACAAAGCAAUGCAAAGUUUCGAGUGUCUCACCUAAUUAAGUAAAAGGCUGCGCAAAUGUAAAACUAAUUAUAUUACAAUUUAUUCGUUUUUGAUUUCCAACAUGAUCUGUAUUUCACAUUAAUCUUCUUGUUCUUUUCCAAGACAACCCUGUAUUUCGAGUAUUUUUUGUUGCAGCUGGCUAGAGGGUCGUCGAUUGCGCAGGUAGGCUACGUGCAUUUCAAAUUCAUUAAACUAGUUAGUAUCAUAACGGCCAAACAUUCGCCAGCGAUAGCUUAGUAUGAAAGCAUGUUUCCAUGUCAGUAUUGUGGUCACCAAUGCUUAACGAAGUAUGCGUUUCUUAGGCAUAUGAAUGUACAUGCGAGUCUUCCAAACGCGUCGUUUAAAUGCGCCUUUUUUGAUUGCACCCUUUCAUUCAGAAACAUAACACAGUUGAAAUGUCAUGUAUAUCGAGAUCAUCAAGAUAAGAGGAGAGCACAGGUAACUGCAAUAGAGUGUGUAUCUUGUCAUGUAGAAUUGUGCAGUGUUAGAUGCAAUGAUUUAUCCAGUUUAAAAUCUCAUUUAAAAUCUCAUAUCAGAGAAGGCAGGGCAGUUUCUUGUGGUCAUAAUUUAGAAGCAGAAACAAAUUUUUCCUCAGAGGGGGUGUACUCAUUUGCAACAUGGCUUUUUAUAAUGUUGGUUAAAAAAACAUACUGUCCUGUUUAGCAUUGCAAUAUUGCAGUGUUGCUGAAACACUACAUAAUAUAGGAACCCCAAAUAUAUUUUAUUUGUAAAGAGAUGUAGCUGGAUUUUCAUUUUUCAGAGAGGGUGUACUCAUUUAUGAUGUGCACUGUAACAUUGUUGUGUCCCAAACAUGGUGCCCUAAAAUUGGAGGGAUUAUGUAUAAAAAGGGCUGUAAUUCAUACACGGUUCACCCGAUAUGGAUGUAAAUAUCGUUGUUUUUAUUGCAAAUCUCAAAUUGCGGAGUACAGAGGCAAAUCAAUAAAUGAUGGGUCCUUGUCCCAAACAUUAUGUAGGGCACCGUAUUCCUUAUAUUAAAAUGUGUUUAAUUUCAUCUCUUUUGUUCUCUACAGGUUUCUGCCUUUGCUGCUGACGUUGAGAGGUCCUUGACUUUGCCUGACAGUCCUUGAUUGACUGUUCGUGGUAUGCAUGUGUCCGGUGGAAGUCGCUGACAAGUCGCUGGAUGGUGACCAUAGAGAGCCAAGUGUUGACCGAGGGGGAGUCAUUCACAUUGGGGCUUGCCACACUGGUUUCCUGCUUCUAUAACUUCAACCUGCAGUAUCAGGAUGGUGCUUGCUGCACAUUGGAGUUCAUCCAGAGAUUUUUUAUUGGUAUUAACCCAGAGCGUGGGUUCAAAGCUCGGCAGGGGAAGGUCAGUAGCAAGCGUUCUGGGAAGGUGGUCCAGAAGAAACAGACAUCCCUUAAUCCUCAUGUGUGCAUCUUCAUGAGGAGACUUAUGGACUUUCAGUGGGUCUUUGUCUAAUGUUUUUCUAAUGUUGCUAAUAUUCAAAUUUAUUCAUUUAUUUGCCUCUGUACUACACAAUUUGAGAUUUGUAGCAGAUAUGGAUGGAUCACUGCCAGGGUUGCGUCUCCUGAUUAACUGUCCUACUGAACCCAAUGGAAAAAUGAUCUGGCAGCAGCAUGAUGGCUUGAGGUUCAUCUGAUACUUUGGACCCUCGAUGACUUAAAGCCAUUUAGCCAACACAUGUGUUCUAUACUGUAUCAGUAUAAUUUACACCUGAAUCUCAUCCCACCCCCCAAUUCCCAUAGAGAUCCAUUCAAGAGUUUUAUUAUUGAUUGUAGGACAACCUGAAAAUAAGAUAUCCAGAUGAUAGGUCAUAGACAUCAGGAAGUCAUGGCAUGCAAAGGAUAUGCAACCAAAUACUGAACAUCACUACUUUCAUUUACAUAACAUUGCUGUCCCAAACAUUAUGCUGCCCUAAAAUUGGGGGGACUACGUAAAAAAAGGGCUGUAAUUCCUACUCGGUUCACCCGAUAUGGAUGUAAAUACCCUCAAAUUAAAGCUGAAAGUCUGCACUUUAACCACAUGAUUUUGUAUUACAAUCUCAAAUUGUGGAGUACAGAGGCAAACAAAUAAAUGAUGGGUCUUUGCCCCAAACAUUAUGGAGGGCACUGUAUAUGUUUUGACUGAAGUUUUUGUUUAGUGUGUUCUACAGUCAAUGAGAUCAGGGUUUGAGUUGACCUUAAGUCAGUCUAUUUAGAUUCUGUACCCCAAAUAAGUUUUUUAAAAAUCAUAUUGCAGUUUUAUUUUUGAAAUUCCAAGCACUUCACUUUGUGAAAAACUGAAAUGU